UACAGAGGGUGCGAGCGUUAAUCGGAAUUACUGGGCGUAAAGGGCGCGUAGGCGGUUAUUUAAGUGUGAUGUGAAAGCCCUGGGCUUAACCUAGGAAGUGCAUCGCAAACUGGGUAGCUGGAGUUUAGGAGAGGGUGGUGGAAUUUCCGGUGUAGCGGUGAAAUGCGUAGAGAUCGGAAGGAACGUCGAUGGCGAAGGCAGCCACCUGGCCUAUGACUGACGCUGAGGCGCGAAAGCGUGGGUAGCGAACAGG
Molecule: ribosomal RNA, 253 nt
Filed under: uncultured Aquicella sp.
Lineage: Bacteria; Pseudomonadati; Pseudomonadota; Gammaproteobacteria; Legionellales; Coxiellaceae
Description: partial 16S ribosomal RNA
Rfam family: Bacterial small subunit ribosomal RNA
Source: RNAcentral